UACGGAGGGUGCAAGCGUUAAUCGGAAUUACUGGGCGUAAAGCGCACGCAGGUGGCUGAGCAAGUCGAUUGUGAAAGCCCUGGGCUUAACCUGGGAAUUGCAGUCGAAACUACUCGGCUAGAGUAUGGGAGAGGGUAGUGGAAUUCCCGGUGUAGCGGUGAAAUGCGUAGAUAUCGGGAGGAACAUCAGUGGCGAAGGCGGCUACCUGGCCCAAUACUGACACUCAGGUGCGACAGCGUGGGGAGCAAACAGG
Molecule: ribosomal RNA, 253 nt
Filed under: uncultured bacterium
Lineage: Bacteria
Description: partial 16S ribosomal RNA
Rfam family: Bacterial small subunit ribosomal RNA
Source: RNAcentral